Molecule: non-coding RNA, 352 nt
Organism: Paramuricea clavata
Lineage: Eukaryota; Metazoa; Cnidaria; Anthozoa; Malacalcyonacea; Plexauridae
Source: the annotation of a GenBank genome assembly
UAAAAUCUGGUAAUAGUUCAUAGUCUAGUAAACAAAGGGUUCGACUCUAAUUAUGAACUUUAAGUGGAAUGAAUGAAAGCAUCAUUCUCAAUUAACAGAAUAUUAAAAGCAGCAUGCUUUAAAAUGUUUAUAACAGUUCAAGUAACAGUUCAUACUGUAAUAGUGGUAAUACCAACUGAAAUAGGCUACCCCCGGCUAUUGUUAAAGUGCACCUAACCUCAAUUUUUUUAACAUCUCAUUCCAAAGAACCUUUGAAAUUAUAUUGUAACUUAUUUUCUGCAUUUCUGUUUGCACACUUUCAGUUUUAUUGAUAUGCAAAUGUCCGGAAUUUACGUCACAUACGAAUAAUGAC